Molecule: long non-coding RNA, 328 nt
Filed under: Mytilus galloprovincialis (Mediterranean mussel)
Lineage: Eukaryota; Metazoa; Mollusca; Bivalvia; Mytilida; Mytilidae
Source: RNAcentral
AAAAAAACCAAAAUACAUGUUUAAAAAAACAGAGACAAGAAAGACCUAUUAAUAGGUUUAAAUAAACACCAAGGAAAAAGUUAAAUAUUAAUGACCAACAACGUACCUCUUUUUAAAGAGAUCACUGAAAACCAAAAUACAUGUUAAAAAAAACAUAGACAAGAAAGACCUAUUAAUAGGUAUAAAUAAAUACCAAAGUAAAAGUUAAAAACUAAUGACCAACAACGUACCUAUUUGUAAAGAGAUCACUAAAAACCAAAAUCUAUCUUUAAAAAAACAAUAUUAAUGAACAACAACGUACCUCUUUUUAAAGAGAUCACUAAAAACC